AAGUAGCACGUCUGGAAAUUGAGAACAAAGUCCUUCAGGAGCAAUUGAAACAGGCUUUACAGGAAGCUGAAAAAGCUAAGCAUCAACUUAACUAUUUCCUAAAUCAAGAGAGGAAGUUACUUAAAAGUGAGGGGAAAACUGAGACAACCAUGCGAGUGGGUAAUAGUCAAACAGAAGUUAAAGGUGAAGAUUCAAAAACUAUACCAUUGGAGAAGGAAACAAGAAAAUCACUGGUUUCAGAUUCAGGUGGACAGAGGGCAAGUGAUAAAAUCCAAGAAUAUCCACAGUUUGAUCACUUAAAUUAUCAUCUAAACUAGAAUAUUGCGACAACAAG
Rhinopithecus roxellana (golden snub-nosed monkey) is the source of this 334-nucleotide long non-coding RNA. The record is from Ensembl. NCBI's taxonomy places the organism in Eukaryota, Metazoa, Chordata, Mammalia, Primates, Cercopithecidae.